RNAcentral lists this ribosomal RNA (406 nucleotides) under uncultured bacterium. Its description in RNAcentral is "partial 16S ribosomal RNA". It matches the Rfam family "Bacterial small subunit ribosomal RNA", at positions 30 to 526 of the family's 1533-position model. The record is from RNAcentral.
AUUGAACGCUGGCGGCAUGCCUAACACAUGCAAGUCGAACGAGUGGCGGACGGGUGAGUAAUGUCUGUAAAACUGCCUGAUGGAGGGGGAAACUUACUGGAAACGGUAGCUAAUACCGCAUACCAUCAGAUGUGCCCAGGUGGGGUUAGCGAGUUGGUGGGGUAAAGGCUCACCAAGGCGCCGCUCCCUAGCUGGCCGGAGAGGAUGAUCAGCCAAACUGGAAAGAAGACACGGUCCAGACUCCUACGGGAGGCAGCAGUGGGGAAUAUUGCACAAUGGGCGAAAGCCUGAUGCAGCCAUGCCGCGUGUAUGAAGAAGGCCUUCGGGUUGUAAAGUACUUUCCUCGGGGAGGCGUUACCCGCAGAAGAAGCACCGGCUAACUCCGUGCCAGCAGCCGCGGUAAUAC